GCGAGCGGGAACAUGGCUACAGAGAAACCUUGACGAGGAGAAUCAUACUGAUAUCCCACAAUCAAUGAUGGGAAACCCCAGUGGAAACAUCCCACAAUCAAUGAUGGAAAAGCCCAGUGGAAACAUCCCACAAUCAAUGAUGGAAAAACCCAGUGGAAACAAUCUCCACUCAUCAGCUCCAUGGGUCGGGACUCGGCCAGCAGGCCCGCGUGAGGGUCCCAGCGCGCCCCUUCCAGGAACAGGCCGCGGAUGUAGCAGCCUACGUCUGGACGUUCUGUCAGCUGCUCUACAGG
This is a long non-coding RNA of Brienomyrus brachyistius, 293 nucleotides long. RefSeq lists it as uncharacterized. Lineage: Eukaryota; Metazoa; Chordata; Actinopteri; Osteoglossiformes; Mormyridae. The transcript has 3 exons. The record is from RefSeq and is a predicted model, not a curated record.